Oryza sativa Japonica Group (Japanese rice) is the source of this 643-nucleotide long non-coding RNA. RefSeq lists it as uncharacterized. The record is from RefSeq and is a predicted model, not a curated record. NCBI's taxonomy places the organism in Eukaryota, Viridiplantae, Streptophyta, Magnoliopsida, Poales, Poaceae.
AGCCUUUCUCUUCAUCUCAAUUCAAACAACACAAAUUUGACAAAGAAAUUAACGCAGCUAGCUACUUGAUCAAAGAAACCUCUCCUUGAUCUAGUAGUGCGAGCUAGCUAGCUAUAAAUUCGCAGUAGAACGCAGCCAGUGUGUAGCUAGCAUGGACAGCAACAACAAGAACCUGCAACCACCACCAGGCUACCCGACGGUGGAUUCAGAGCACGGCGGCCGCGGACGAACGACGGCUCGCGGGAGAAAGACCAGAUUCAUCGAUGGAUGCAUCGCCGCACUAUGCUGCUGCUGGCUGUGUGACCUUUGCUGCGAUUAGAGGAAGGGAAACAGAUGAGAUUAAAAGAUGCCUUGAUAUUAUAUGUGGAUAGUAUUUCUACAUGGGUGUGCUGAAAAGAGGAUCUUUGGAGCAGAGAAUUGAAUACAACGAAAUGUUGUUGCAGAAAGUAUACAUCCCGUAAUUUCUGCGUAUAUUUUCGAUAUAUAUAUAGCGCGGAAUAAUGAAUAAUGAUAUGCGUGAAGUAUCUAUGUAAUUCAUUAAUUACAUAGUGUGCUCGUUUUGAUUUGUAUCCAUUUUUCAGCUCAUUUAUUUUGACCCAUAUAAAAAUGUAUAGAUAAUCUGAUUCCUCAAUUGAUGAGUUAA